This 446-nucleotide ribosomal RNA is filed under the name uncultured bacterium. RNAcentral's name for it is "partial 16S ribosomal RNA". It matches the Rfam family "Bacterial small subunit ribosomal RNA", at positions 338 to 795 of the family's 1533-position model. The record is from RNAcentral.
CCUACGGGAGGCUGCAGUCGAGAAUCAUUCACAAUGGGGGAAACCCUGAUGGUGCGACGCCGCGUGGGGGAAUGAAGGUCUUCGGAUUGUAAACCUCUGUCAUGUGGGAGCAAAUGAAAAAGAUAGUACCACAAGAGGAAGAGACGGCUAACUCUGUGCCAGCAGCCGCGUUAAUACAGACGGCUCAAGCGUGGUUCGGAAUCACUGGGCGUAAGGCGUGCGUAGGCUGUUUCGUAAGUCGUGUGUGAAAGGCGCGGGCUCAACCCGCGGACGGCACAUGAUACUGCGAGACUAGAGUAAGGGAGGGGGAAGCGGAAUGCGCGGUGUAGCAGUGAAAUGCGUAGAUAUCGAGAGAAACACUCGUGGCGAAGGCGGGUUCCUGGACAUUAACUGACGCUGAGGCACGAAGGCCAGGGGAGCGAAAGGGAUUAGAUACCCUUGUAGUC